RNAcentral lists this ribosomal RNA (245 nucleotides) under uncultured bacterium. Its description in RNAcentral is "partial small subunit ribosomal RNA". It matches the Rfam family "Bacterial small subunit ribosomal RNA", at positions 26 to 285 of the family's 1533-position model. The record is from RNAcentral.
AGAAUCAACGCUGGCGGCGUGCCUAACACAUGCAAGUCGCACGAGAAAGGGACUUCGGUCCUGAGUACAGUGGCGCACGGGUGAGUAACACGUGAAUAAUCUACCUCCGAGUGGGGAAUAACUGAGAGAAAUCUUAGCUAAUACCGCAUAACACUUACGAGUCAAAGCAGCAAUGCGCUUGGAGAGGAGUUCGCGGCAGAUUAGUUAGUUGGCGGGGUAAUGGCCCACCAAGACAGUGAUCUGUA